This 253-nucleotide ribosomal RNA is filed under the name uncultured bacterium. RNAcentral's name for it is "partial 16S ribosomal RNA". It matches the Rfam family "Bacterial small subunit ribosomal RNA", at positions 524 to 776 of the family's 1533-position model. The record is from RNAcentral.
UACGUAGGGGGCAAGCGUUGUCCGGAAUCAUUGGGCGUAAAGAGCGCGUAGGCGGUCCGGUAAGUCGGUUGUGAAAGUCGGGGGCUCAACCCUCGGAGGCCGACCGAUACUGUCGGGCUAGAGUCCGGAAGAGGCGAGUGGAAUUCCAGGUGUAGCGGUGAAAUGCGUAGAUAUCUGGAGGAAUACCGGUGGCGAAGGCGGCAUCCUGGACCGACAUUGACGCUGAGGAGCGAAAGCUAGGGGAGCAAACGGG